RNAcentral lists this ribosomal RNA (253 nucleotides) under uncultured bacterium. Its description in RNAcentral is "partial 16S ribosomal RNA". It matches the Rfam family "Bacterial small subunit ribosomal RNA", at positions 524 to 776 of the family's 1533-position model. The record is from RNAcentral.
UACGUAGGGCGCAAGCGUUGUCCGGAAUUAUUGGGCGUAAAGAGCUCGUAGGUGGCUUGUCGCGUCUGCCGUGAAAGCCCGUGGCUUAACUACGGGUCUGCGGUGGAUACGGGCAGGCUAGAGGCUGGUAGGGGCAAGCGGAAUUCCUGGUGUAGCGGUGAAAUGCGCAGAUAUCAGGAGGAACACCGGUGGCGAAGGCGGCUUGCUGGGCCAGUUCUGACGCUGAGGCACGAAAGCGUGGGUAGCAAACAGG